Molecule: long non-coding RNA, 526 nt
Organism: Gasterosteus aculeatus aculeatus (three-spined stickleback)
Lineage: Eukaryota; Metazoa; Chordata; Actinopteri; Perciformes; Gasterosteidae
Source: Ensembl
GAUCAAAAGGUUAAAAUCAAAUGUAUUUAAUAAAAGAGAUGGCGUUGUGGUAAAAAGAACAUCUCAGCUGAGGAGCCGCUGGUCUCAGCCACCAACAGGCCCCAGGUCAGUCCUUUGACCAUCCCUAGUGCCCGUCUGCUGCCUCCACCAGUGAACUCGAGAACAAUGGUUCCUACAGGUAUUUAUAACAAUGCUUAAAGGUGUGAAAGUCAGUGUCCACACCUCUGGGAGUGGUCUUCUGGUGAGUUCAAUGUAACUCGGAUUUCGGAUGAUCCUUAGUCAAUAUCAGUUGUUGUUCAAGUAUUACAUGCAUGCAUUCCAGUUGAUUACAUUACAUCAAAUACAAUCAUAACUGUACAUUGGUAUUAUUCUAUUACAGUUGCAGAAUUACAGUGGUUUUACAAUAUUGUCAUUACUUUAUUGAUUACACAUUUUCAGAAUCAUGGCUGUAUUCUGGUGUACACUAUAUGCAUUUUUAUUAAUUUUAUGAACCGGAUCGUCAAUUUGUUUCUAAUAUCCUACACUA